RNAcentral lists this long non-coding RNA (1901 nucleotides) under Homo sapiens (human). RNAcentral describes it as "LHRI_LNC794.1". The record is from RNAcentral. Lineage: Eukaryota; Metazoa; Chordata; Mammalia; Primates; Hominidae.
UUUCUUCAAGCUAAGAUCUUCCUGGCUUGAAGCUCUUAAAAUUUCUUGUUACUGCAGUCUUCCUAAGACAUUCCAUCUGAUGGUUUAUUCUUUUGACUCUGCCAUUUUACUCAACUAAACCUCAAAAUUCUUGACUAUGGAAGCCUCCAGAGGUGUUGUUAAAGCUUUAACUCUUUCAUUAAAAGCCAUGUGACUUGCUUUAUCCAAUGGGAGGUUAGUAGAUGUGACACAAACAAAUGCUCGAAAGAGUACUUGCAUGUUUCCAUUUACGUUUCUGUUCUUGCCUUCUGUCAUCACCAUGACAACAUGCCCAGUCUGGCUCCUGGAGGAUGGGACACACAACGUGGGAACCGGCAAGUCACCAGAGUCAUCUCAGCCAAGAUCAACCAAUAGUCAAUUACCAGGAACGUGAGAGAAUUCUGAGACCAGGACUGCUCAGCCACCUCUGCCUAAAAUACCAACACACAGAACAGUAAAGUGAAUGGAUGUUUAUUAUCCUAAGCCACUAUAUUUUGAGAUUGUACCUCAUGCAGCACUAUUAUGACCAUAGGUGACUGAUAUAAAAAGUAAGGAAUUAUGAAUCAUAAGAAAAAGAUGAACCAAGGAAAGAAUCAGCUUUGAAGAGGUGGUAAACUAUGGGAGUUGGGUAUGCUUUUCUGCAAUGAUCUUGUCUUAUUUUCUUUUUUUUUAAAGGAAGGCCUACCUGAAUAAUUCUGUGCAGGAAGAUAAAAGCAAGAUUAGAGUGAGACCUAUUCAGGGAGGUGUCAUUUUGUGAGCAGUUCAUGACCAUACCCAAUAAUCAGGGUCUGUCUACAUAUCUGAAUUUUAAUCCUUACAUAUAUGGCCUUAGAUGAACUAAAAUAAUUAUAAGAAGUUGUGUCAUUGUAGACUUCUAUUAAUAAACAUAUACCUACAUAUAUACAUGUUUAUGCACAAGAAUCAGCCUGUAUAGGCAUAUUUACCUAGGCAUAUUCAUUGCAUAGUGCUCUCAUGGUUGUGACUUGGGUGGGUGUAGCAAAGUGACAGGCCAGGAUCUCACCACAUAGGAAGAACUUUGGUCUGGCCAAGACAGGGCCAGCUAGUGGCCUCCCUGCCAUUAGCUCUGUCUGCCACCCAAGACAGAAGAAGCCAACAGUCCAAAGGGACAUAGCAGCUUCAUUUUGGUUCUAGUUAGUGGUGCCAUAGAAGAGGAACAGGCAGAUAGGAUCUCAUCUAGGCCAUGAGACAAGCAAGAGUUCUCAAGAAGGGUAGACUCUUAGAAACAGGAGGCCAGUGAGACAUGGAUCUAAGAGGCAUAGCCAGGUAGAAGCAGCCCUAGUCAAUGGCUAGAAGUAUAAUAUCCCAAUAAAAGAGGCAUUCUUAGAAAGCUGGGCAGCAUCUCAGGACCACACAUGAUUGGGGAAAAGGGGUUGGUGAGGGGCAGACCCAGCCAGUUAGGCCUGUAGGUGCUGGGACAGGGUGGGGGAUGCAUUGUACCCACAGAAUAAAGCCAUAAGGGUGAAUAGCAAGAGCCACAUUGUGGAUCACCCUGGAGCAGGUGUCAGAGUGAAGCCUGACAUAUGGAAGCUCUAGGAACACAAUGGUAACCAGGGGAAUAGAGGAAGAAAGAGAGGUUUCAAGGCCUCAGUAAAGCUGAGACUCAGGAACAGCAGGUGUGCACAAGUGCUAAGUGGUCUGGAUUAAUUCACGAGCUGGGUGCCAAUGCCUGGCUCAGCUUCUAUGGGCUCCUGGAGGAUCCUUAAGAGGUGAUAAAGUUCAGGUAAAGACAGUGGACUGGGACCAGGCAGAGCCUGGGAUCCUGGGGUCAUAUCCAGCCCAUUACCAAAUCCUGUCAAUUAAACUUCCAAAAUGUCUCUGAGAUCUGCCUGGGGCUCUCAGCAUCUUUCCCACCAUUGUCUCUU